CGACCGCCUGGAAUGAGAGGCGCCGGGACGGGGAGCUGGCUUAGGUGCCUGCGAGGCUGUCAGGGAGGGUGGUGCCCGUGGGGCUGCUUGGUCUGCACCCGCCCUGCUCUGGGCCCAGGAGGUCAGUCCCGAGGGGUGCCGUCCCCCAGCUUCCCACGUCAUGGAGUGGCAGUAGCUGGGCUCCUCGGGGGCUACAACUCCCGCCAGGCACACCUCCUAGCCAGCGGCUCCGGCACUCAUCAAGCAUUAGGAGUGCGGGGGCCCCACCCUGCUCCCUGCAGCCUGGCAGGUCGAGGGCCCGGCUCUCGUCCGUCCAGGGUGCCUCACCAGGUGUGGUGGGUGGAAGGGUGGCCUCCAAGGAUACGUCCCUGUGGAACCUGUGACUGUGACCUUUGGCAAAUAGGGUUUUUGUAGAUGUAAUGAAGUUAAAGGUCUCGAGAGGGAGUCGCCCUGGAUUGAGGUGUUCCCCGAUUCAAGCCUGGGUGCCCUGUGAGUUAGGGAGGGAGACUGCAGACACAGAAAGGGGCCAGGUGAAGACAGGCACAGGCUGGGGUGACGCAGCUUCGAGCCAGGGAUGGCCAGCAACCCCCAGGAGCUGGGCGGGGCAGGAGGGAUCCUCCCAGAGCCUCCAGAGGGAGCACAGCCCUGCCAAUGCCUUGAUCUUGGACGUCUGGCCUCCAGAGCUGUGAGAGCGCAUCCUUCAGUUGUUCUAACCCACCUGGUCUGUGGUAAGUUGCUACAGCAGCCCCAGGACACCAACACACCAGGUCUCACGGAGCCCCCUCACCUCUGUGCGUGGCCCUUGCAUGACCAUUCUCUCCAGUUGACACACAUUUUGGGGGUGUCAGGACCCCGGAUGAUAAAUGUUAGUAUGGUUCUAUUGUCUACAGUUAUAGGGUCUCCGGGGUACGAUCAGUCUCGGGGGGUAUUCUUCACAUUUUGAGGGGGGAUGGAAGCUGCACGGAAGCACUUGGGGCCCCGAGAUGUGUAACUAUUCCUGGCAGAGCUUGCAACAGUCUCACUAGAAAACCAGCAACACAGCACACUGCAGCUGCAUUUGAACAGUUCUGCUUAGACAUGUGCGGAGUAUUACGUGCCCAAGAAUAUUCACUGACGUAUCAUCUGUAUCAUUCACAGAGGAUACAUACUGCUGUCAACUCAGGCACCCAUAGCACUGGCUGGGUGGAUGGGCUGCAUCAUCCGCACAGUGGGGACACUUGCAGCUGUAAGAAAGAACCAGGAAGAUACACGUGGGAACGGAGAGAUCUCCAGGAUCAACUGGUAUUACAAGUAAACUUGCAUACAUAAAGCAAUCUCUGAAAAUUAGAAACAAACUGAGUUAAAUUAAACUAACUAUACAUCGAUGGUAAUAUAACUCCCAAGAAAAUAAUGAUUUCUCGUGACUGGGACAGCAUUUAGACGGAACCAAGAUUUUCAGUGUAAGAGAAAUGAGAUCAAGUAUAAAAUCAACAAAGGUUAGUAAAACCCUCCAGUGUUCAAUUUGGAUGAAAUGAUCAUGUGAAUCGGUGAAGUAACUUUGAGGUGGUCAGGAAGCACAUGCACUGAAGUGUCACUUCUUCGCUCUGCCCUGACAACAUCCAGUAGCGAUGGCAGCAGCCGCAGUGAGCACCUCUCGCGUCUGGACGUUGGUUUCUAAGUACCACUCCUCGCUAGAGGAAUGGCCCGUCCAGAUGUGAGGCAAGAAAUCAGCAAGACGAACCUGGGCUGUGCACUCAGGUCCCAACACAGGGACGUAGCAGAAGCACCCAGAACCAGCUGCCAGAGGAGCCCCCUGGCCAGAGGUCAAGACCCGUACUAGCUGCAGCUGAGCACCACACACCGAGCGUAUAAAAACCUGCACAGCCUUAGCCGUGAUGAGAAAGUGAAAAACGCAGUUCACUGACUGCUUUUGCAUUUACCCAGGUCCUCAUCUCUGCAAUCUGUGGAUAGUCACUUUCCCUGGCAAAAGGGGACUUUGCAGCCACGAUGAAGGUAAGGGUCUUGAGCUGGGAGGUGGUCCUGGAUAACCCAGGUGGGCCCUACGUGCCGUCACAGGGUCGUUACAGGCUCCUGACCUCCAGAAAAGUGCGAGGGUAAACGCCUGUCAUGUUACGCAAUUGUUACGGCAGCCGUAACACCUGGAUGCAGGUGGUGACACUGCCUGUUGCUGGCUCACCGGUUCUGCUCUGAGAAUCGGAAGUAAAGGUAGAGAAUGAAGCCUCAUUCUCGCCUUUUCUGUUGAGCUGCGUUAAUUUCAUGUUCCUGUUGAGUGGCUUAAAACAACACAGAUUCGUUAUCUUACAGUUCUGGGGGCCAGAAGCCAAAAGUCUGCGCUGCUGGGCUAAGGUCGGGGCGUGGGCAGGGCUGGCUGCUUCUGAAGGCUCCUGGACGCCUUUUCUGGCUCCGUCCGAGAGGCGCCUGUGCUCUCGGCCCCUCCCUCCGUCUUCAGAGUGGCAACGCGGCACCUUCCAGUCUGUCUCUCUCAGGCCUCUGCUGCAUCCUCAGGUCUCUGACUCUGGUCCUCUUGCAUCACUCUUCUAAGGGCCCCUCGAUUACUUGGGGGCCCCCCAGGACUAUCCAGGACAACCUCCCAUCUCAAGAUCCUUAACUUCUUCACAUCUGCAAAGUGCCCUUUGCCACAUACGCACAGAUUUGGGAGACUGGGACCUGGGUGGGCAUCUUUGCGUGGGCGUUGUUCUGACAGCUGCAGGCCUGCAUUUCAGCAUCAUCACAGGGCUCUUUUAUAUAGAAGCAUUCUAGCCGAGGACUGUACAAGGAAUGACAGGAUUGUAAAGCACCAUUUUAUACCGCCUAAUGAAGAAAUGAACUUGGCAAUGACCAUCAACAGAUGAUGAAACCAACAGAUGGGGGCUGGUGGAGAGCCGUGAUUUUGCAGACUGUUUGCCGGUCAUGACGGGGAGGAGCCAACUCCACGGUGACGGGAGAGGCCUGUGAGCACCGGAGCCCACUGGUCAGGCUCAGAUGGCUGUGCACGGGACAACCAGGCUCCUCGCCGCGGAAGGGCCCUUCAGGUCUGCAGCCCUGGUUACAGGAAGAGCAGAGAGCGAGAGACCAGAUACUCCGAGAGGAAGCGAUCGGACAGAUUCAGCACCGCGGACCCUGCGUUUGUGACAGGUCAGAGGUGGGGGGAAUAUUCUAGAUUAUGAGAGAUUCAAGAGAUGGCACAACCGAAUGCAACGUGGGGACCCUGGUUGGAUCCAGAUUUGAAAACCACACCAUCAAGAGACACUUGGAGAAUUAAGGGCAAUUAAAUGUAGACUCAGGGCCUCCAUGGUGGCGCAGUGGUUGAGAGUCCACCUGCUGAUGCAGGGGACGCGGGUUCGUGCCCCGGUCUGGGAAGAUCCCACAUGCCGCGGAGCGGCUGGGCCCGUGAGCCAUGGCCGCUGAGCCUGCGCGUCCGGAGCCUGUGCUCCGCAAUGGGAGAGGCCACAGCAGUGAGAGGCCCAUGUACCGCAAAAAAAAACAACAAAAAAACAAAUGACUCAUAUUGGAGAUCACGGAGGUGUGGCUGUCUGUCUCAGGUGCUGUCACGGUUGUAGCUAUGUGAGCAGAGGGCCUGGAGUUAGAACCACACGGCAGCAAAACAUGGAUGGAGCGACAUGGCAGCACGCUAGUAACUGUGAAACUGAAGUGGCAGGUGAGGGUACACCGUCUCUCUUACUUCUAGAUGUGCUUGGAAACGUUUGUGGUAAAUGGGGUGACACACUUCUGCUCAGAGGGGAACUGAUCGCCUCGUGGGACCAGUUGUCCUGCGAGCCCUGGGGGUGCUGGUGACGGGGCCGUGCUGCCCUGCCUGCUGCUCCUCUGGCCCAGCCCUGCCCCAUCACUGGGCUCCUACUGCAGCUCAGCCUUGACUUCUAUGAAGAAGCAGAAGCAAGAGAGGUUAAGAGACCUUGGCACGGCCCAGAGAAAGCACGGCUCAGGGAAACCGCCGGGUGACUGCCGGAGCCUGGAUCCAGCCAUGCCUGAAGACAGUGCAGCUUCUGCGAGAUGAGGAGAUUCUCUUCUUGUUUCAGUUGCCAGGGUCAGUGUAGUGGACAUCAGUAGGCUGUUUGGCUCUCCAGCACCUUCUGAAUUCCCUUCUUUAUCUUCCAGAACCGUGCUUUCUCGCCCUCCUCUACUGCCACCACCUGGUCAGGUGAUCUAGAACCUGCCAGUGGGACACACCUUCAUGAGUUUGAUUCAGAAGAGAGGCAGAGAGACCUUGUGCUUUGGCGCCUGCAGUGGCAGAAGGGAGAAGCCUGGGGCCCGGGGCCCGGGUGGUGACUCUGGAGCCUUGUCCCCUCCUGCGGUGCUGCUGUGAGAACAGAUGAGGAAACUGGACUUGGAAUGAAUGUUUUGGUGCCUCCACCGUGAACCCCUCACCCGCUGAAGGCAGAGCCGGGACCCUGUCUGCUCCGCCGCCCAGUCGGAGCCCCUGUGAUGGGGGGUCAGGUACCACCCGCGGUGUUUUUAGGGCAGAGAACAAACUUCCCUGUAGAUGAGCGGAUGCUCCCAGCUUCACCUUGAGCCAUGUAACACUUACGCGUCAAGAGGGGAAAACGUUCUGAUGCUCAGAGAGGUCCGACUGUCAGCCUAAGGGCACAAAGCUAGGAGGGCCCCGGGGGUUGGGGGGGCAGAAGGGGGCUUCCCGACUCCAGGAGACCCUCCCGUGGGCCUGUGUGUGGCUGGGCCUCAGGGCUUUGCUCCAGGACCUGAGGAUGAGGCAGAGGGAGGCCCUUGGGUCGGGUCUGCGGCUGUGUCCUGGGGGCCUCGGCCCUACCCCGUGGACCCGCCUCACCCUGCAGGGGUGCUGAGGGACGCUUCGCGGUGGCAGCAAGGGAGCGCAGGCUCGGAGCAGGCGAAGGGAGAACGACGUCUAAUUAACAUUUCAGAACAGGAACUGGAUCAUGCAAAUCCCCACCCCCACCUCUGCAGCUUCUGCUGAUGGCUCUUGAUUAAGCGCGAUAAAAUUAGCCUGGCUGUGCAGGGGGUGCAGCCAGCCCUGGGCCUGCGCCCGCCCGCCCCCACUGAGCCCAGCAGACGGUGUCCUGGGGCCCUGCCUUCCACCCGUCCCGAGGGGCCAUGUCAUAAUGUGUGACCCCGGGACAUUAGGCAAUCCACACACAUCCACGCCGUCGCCCCACAGCCCCGACAGUAAGCAGGCAGGGCCUCUAUGUGCUCUCCUGGCCUCCAGGGCCCGGGCCUGGCUGAGGCCGACUGGGGUGGAGGAGGGGCAGGGGCGACUCUGGGAAGAGGCAGCCGUUCCGAAAGCCCGGAGGGGCAUCUUCCUGAGGAACAGUCCCGGGAACCAGGCUGUGCCCACCUUUCCUUCAUCCAGGCGUGCAGGCAUCCCCUGGGAUGUGCCCCAAGGCACCUCCUUGGGUCACAUGCAAACUCCCUCCUGGGUCUCAGUGUAAUUCCCGGGCUGCCCCUUUUUCAGGCGUGUGUGCAGAUCCGGGGGUAUCUUGUUCAUCAUCUCCCCUCCCCUCGUGUGGACACCCCAGCGCAAACAGGUCAGGAAGGUGCACCGCACCCUCCUUUUCUCCGCCGCAUCGCUUCCUCACAGGCCAUCUAGGACCCGGCCUUUCUAGGGGAUCAGCGGGCGUUUGCAGGGCGGCUGGCGUGCAGAAGGGCAGACGAGGUUCAGGCUAGAAGCAGAGAGCCACACGAGGGUCAGGUCAGGGCCGACCAGGGCUCGUCAAAGCCAGAUCAGGGCUCGGGACAGUGGGCGGAAGUGGUCCCCCGCGGACGUGCCCUGCGGGAGCUCGGGUGUCAGGGCAGCCUCGGGGCCCCUCUCUGGAGCUGCGGAAACCCGGAAAGGCAGCGCUGCUCCAUCUCAGAAGGGGACGGGAGACACACUUGGGGUCUUGAAGGACAGAGGUGUGGUGCGAAGGUGGGCCCGCGGAAGGAGGAGAUGUGGGUUGGACUCUGUCUCACUGUGUGACCUCGGGUAGCCCGAAUUACCCCUCUCGGCCUCAGGUGUCUCUGGUGGAAAAAGGGAUAGCAGCUGUUUUCCUGACGGAGAAAAGCCUCUUAGGAAAUACACUCAGAAGCCUUUAGAUGUGAGGGCAUCACGCAUACUACUGAUUCCCAAGCAGCUCAGAAAGAAUUGUGUGGGCGCACCUACAGGGAGAAGCGGGCACACACGGCAUGGCGCCGACAGGGCCGGUGUGCGCAGCUCUCCUUUUUGUUUGCUGUAACUGGAGCACAGCUGGUUUACAAUGUGUGUUACUUUCAGGUGUAGAGCAAAGUGACUCAGUUAUACACAUAUAUAUGUAUAUUCUUUUUCAGAUUCUUUCCCCAUACAGGUUAUUAGAAAAUAUUGAGUAGAGUUCCCUGUGUCAUACAGUAGGUCCUUGUUCUUUAUCUAUUUUAUAUAUAGCAGUGUGUAAAUGUUAAUGCCAACCUCCUAAAUUAUCCCCCGGCCCUUUGGUAACCAUAAGUUUGUUUUCUAUGUCUACGAGCCUGUUUCUGUUUUGUAAAUAAGUUCAUUUGUAUCAUUUUUUUAGUUUCCACAUGUAAGUGAUAUAUGAUGAUUAUUUGUCUUUCUGUCUGACUUCACUUAGCAUGAUCAUCUCCAGGUCCAUCCAUGUUGCUGAAAAUGGCAUUAUUUCAUUCUUUUUUAUAGCUGAGUAAUAUUCCAUUGUAUAUGUGUACCACAUCUUCUUUAUCCACUCAUCUUUUGAUGGACAUUUAGGUUGCUUCCAUGUCUUGGCUAUUGUAAAUGGUGCUGCAGUGAACACUAGGGUGCAUGUAUCUUUUCAAAUUAUGGUUUUCUCCAGAUAAAUGCCCAGGAGUGGGAUUGCUGGGUCAUAUGGUAGUUCUAUAUUCAGUUUUUUAAGGAACCUCUGUACUGUUCUCCAUAGUGGCUGCACCAAUUUACCUUCCCACCAACAGUGCAAGAGGGUUCCCUUUUCUCCACACCCUCUCCAGCAUUUGUUGUUUGUAGAUUUUCUGGUGACUUCCAUUCUAACUGGUGUGAGGUGAUACUUCAUUGCAGUUUUGAUUUGCAUUUCUCUAAUUAGUGAUCUUGAACAUCUUUUCACGUGCCUUUUCGCCAUCUGUGUGUCUUCUUUGCAGAAAUUUCUACUUAGGUCUUCUGCCCAUUUUUUGAUUGGGUUUUCUUGAUAUUGAGCUGCAUGAGCUGUUUGUGUAUUUUGGAGAUGAAUCCCUUGUCAGUAGCUUCAUUUGAAAAUAUUUUCUCCCAUUCCAUAGGUUGUCUUUUCGUUUUAUGGUUUCCUUUGCUAUGCGAAAGCUCUUAAGUUUAAUUAGGUCCUAUGUGUUUAUUUUUGUUUUCAUUACGCUGGAAGAUGGAUCCAAAGAUGUAUUGCUGCGAUAUGUCAAAGGGUGUCCUCCCUAUGUUUUCCUCUAGGAGUUUUAUAGUAUCCGGUCUUAUGUUGAAGUCUUUAAUCCAUUUUGAAUUUAUUUUUUGUAUGGUGUUAGAGAAUGUUCUAAUUUCAUUCUUUUACAUGUAGCUGUACAGUUUCCCCAGCACUACUUAUUGAAGAGACUGUAUUUUCUCCAUUGUAUAUUCUUGCCUCGUUUGUCGUAGAUUAAUUGAACAUAGGUGUGUGGGUUUAUUUGUGGGCUUUCUAUCCUGUUCCAUUGAUCUACAUUUCUGUUUUUGUGCAAGUACCAUGCUGUUUUGAUUACUGUAGCUUUGUAGUAUAGUCUGAAGUCAGGGAGCCUGAUUCCUCCAGCUCCGUUUUUCUUUCUCAAGAUUGCUUUGGCUAUUCGGGGUCUUCUGUGUUUUCAUACAAAUUUUAAAACUUUUGGUACUAGUUCUGUGAAAAAUACCAUAGGUAAUUUGAUAGGGAUUUCACUGAGUCUGUAGAUUACCUUGGGUAGUAUAGUCAUUUUGACAAUAUUGAUUCUCCCAAUCCAUGAACUUGGUAUAUGCUUCCAUCUGUUUAUGUCAUCUUCUGUUUCUUUCAUCAGCAUCUUACAGUUUUUGGAGUACAGGUUUUUUUUUUUUUUUUCUCCUUAGGUAGGUUCAUUCCUGGGUAUUUUAUUCUUUUUGAUGCCAUGGUAAAUGGGAUUGUUUCCUUAAUUUCCCUUUCUGAUCUUCUGUUGUUAGUGUAUAGAAAUGCAACAGAUUUGUGUGUAGUAAUUUUGUAUCCUGCAACUUUACCAGAUUCACUGAUGAGCUCAAGUAGUUUUCUGGUAGCAUCUUUAGGAUUCUCAAUGAAUGUAUAGUGUAAUGUCAUCUGAAAAUGGUGACAGUUUUGCUUCUUUUCCAGUUUGGAUCCCUUUUAUUUCUUUUUCUUUUCCAAUUGCUGUGGCUAGGACUUCUAAAACUAUGCUGAAUAAAAGUGGUGAGAGUGGACAUCGCUGUUUGUUCUUUUUAAAUUUAUUUAUUUUUGGCUGCGUUGGGUCUUUGUUGCUGUGCGUGGGCUUUCUCUAGUUGAGGCAAGCAGGGGCUACUCUUGCUGUGGUGCAUGGGUUUCUCAUUGCGGUGAUUUCUCUUGCUGCGGAGCACAGGCUCUAGGCACACAGGCUUCAGUAGUUGUGGCACACCGGCUUAGUUGCUCCGCGGCAUAUGGGAUAUUCCCAGACCAGGACUUGAACCCAUGUCUACCGCAUUGGCAGGUGGAUUCUUAACCACUUCGCCACCAGGGAAGUCCCCUUGUCUUGUUCUUGAUCUUAGAGGAAAUGCUUUCAGCUUUUCACCAUUGAGUAUGAUGUUAGCUGUGGGGUUGUCAUAUAUGGCCUUUAUUAUGUUGAGGUAGGCUCCCUGUAUGCCUACUUUCUGGACAGUUUUUUUUUUUUUUAAUCAUAAAUGGGUGUGGAAUUUUAUCAGAAGUUUUUUCUGCUUCUACUGAGACGAUUGUAUGGUUUUUAUUCUUCAAUUUGUUAAUGUGGCGUAUCACACUGAUUGAUUUGCAGAUAUUGAAAAAUCCUUGCAUCCCUGGGAUGGAUCCCACUUGAUCGUGGUGUGUGAUCCUUUUAAUGUAUUGUUGGAUUCCGUUUGCUAGUGUUUUGUUGAGGAUUCUUGCAUCUGUGUUCAUCAGUGACAUUGGCCUGUCAUUGUUUUUUUGAAGUAUUUUUGUCUGGUUUUGGUAUCAGAGUGACGGUGGCCUCAUAGAAUGAGUUUGGAAAUGUUCCUUCUUCUGCAAUUUUUUGGAAUAGUUUCAGAAGGAUAGGUGUUAACUCUUUUCUAAAUGUUUGAUAGAAUUCACCUGUGAAACCAUCUGGUCCUGGACGUUUGUUUGUUGGGAGUUUUUAAACCACAGAUUCAAUUUCAGUACUUGUAAUUGGUCUUUUCAUAUUUUCUAUUUCUUCCUGGUUCAGUUUUGGGAGAUUGUACCUUUCUAAGAAUUUGUCCAUUUCUUCUAGGUUGUCCAAUUUACUGCCAUAUAGUUGCCUGUAGUAGUCUCUUGUGGUCCUUUGUAUUUCUGUGGUGUUGGUUGUAAUGUCUCCUUUUUCAUUUCUAAUUUUAUUGAUUUGAGUCCUCUCCCUUUUUUUCCUGAUGGGUCUUGCUAAAGUUUUAUUAAUUUUAUCUUUUCAAAGAACCAGCUUUUACUUUAAUUGAUCUUUUUUUAUGGUUUUCUUAGUCUCUAUUUCAUUAUUUCUGCUCUGAUCUUUAUGAUUUCUUUCCUUCUACUAACUUUGGGUUUUGUUUGUUCUUCAUUUUUAGUUGCUUUAAUGUAAGGUUAGGUUGUUUGAGAUUUUUCUUUUUCCUGAGGUAAGCUUGUAUCGCUAUAAACUUUCCUCUUAGAACUGCUUUUGCUGCGUUCCAUAGCUUUUGGAUCACAGUGCUUUCAUUUUCAUUUGUCUCUAGGUAUUUUUUGAUUUCCUCUUUGAUUUCUUCAGUGAUCCAUUGGUUGUUCACUAGCAUAUUGCGUAGCCUCCACGUGUUAGUGUUUUUUUGCAGUUUUUUUUUCUUGUAGUUGAUUUCUAAUCUUAUAGUGUUGUGGUUGGAAAAGAUGCUUGAUAUGAUUUCAAUUUUCCUAAUUUACUGAGGCUCGCUUUGUGGCCCAGCACGUGAUCUAUCCUGGAGAAUGUUCCGUGUGCACUUGAAAAGAAUGUGUAUUCUGCUGCUUUCGGACAGAACGCUCUGUAGAUAUCAGUUAAGUGCAUCUGGUCUAAUGUGUCAUUUAAGGCUUGUGUUUCCUCACUGAUUUUCUGUCUGGAUGAUCUGUCCAUUGAUGUAAGUGGGGCGCUGAAGUCCCCCACUAUUAUUUAUUUACUGUCAAUUUCUCCUUUUAUAUCUGUUAACAUUUGCCUUAUAUAUUGAGGUGCUCCUGUGUUGGGUGCGUAUAUAUUUACAAUUGUUGUAUCUUCUUGGAUCGAUCCCUUGAUCAUUACGUAGUGUCCUCCUUUGUCUCUUGUAGUAGUCUUUAUUUUCAAGUCUAUUUUAUCUGAUAUGAGUAUUGCUACUCCAGCUUUCUUUUGAUUUCCAUUUGCAUGGAAUACCUUUUUCCACCCCCUUUCAGUCUGUAUGUGUCUCUAGGUCUGACGUGGGUCUCUUGUAGACAACAUAUAUAUGGGUCUUGUUUUUGUAUCCAUUCAGCCAGUCCACGUCUUUUGGUUGGAGCAUUUAACCCGUUUACAUUUAAGGUAACUAUUAUUAUUAUUUUUUGUGGUAUGCGGGCCUCUCACUGCUGUGGCCUCUCUCGUUGCGGAGCACAGGCUCCGGACGCGCAGGCUCAGCGGCCAUGGCUCACGGGCUCAGCCGCUCGGCGGCAUGUGGGAUCCUCCUGGACCGGGGCACGAACCCGUGUCUCCUGCAUCGGCAGGCAGACCCUCAACAACUGCGCCACCAGGGAAGCCCCCAUUUAAGGUAAUUAUUGAUAUGUAUGUUCUUACUGGCAUUUUGUUAAUUGUUUUGGGUUUGUAGGUCUUUUUUCUUCCUUUCCUCUUUUGUUCUCUCUUCUUAUGAUUUGAUGACUAUCUUUAGUGUUGUGUUUGGAUUCCUUUUUCUUUUUUGUGUGUACGUCUAUUAUAGAUUUUUGGUUUGUGGUUACCAUGAGGUUCUGAUACAGCAGUGUAUAUAAAUAUGUGAUUGUUUUAAACUGUGAUCUCUUAAUUUCAAACACACUCCCAGUGUCCUGCACUUGUGCUCUCCUCCUCUCACGAUUGCUGGUGUUGAUACCAUGCUUGUGUGGAUGAUCUCCUACCUUUACUGUACGUUUGCCUUUACUGGUGAGCUUUCCCAUUUCAUCAUUUUCUUGUUUCUAGUUGUGGCCUUUUCUUUUCCACGUAGAGAAGUUCCUUCAGUGUCUGUUGUAAAGCUGGUUUGGUGGUGCUAAAUUCUUUUAGCUUUUGCUUGUCUCUAAAGCUUUUGAUUUCUCCAUCAAAUCUGAAUGAGAGCCUUGCUAGGUAGAGUAUUCUUGGUUGUAUGUCUUUUCCUUUCAUCACUUUAGAUAUAUCCUGCCACUCCCUUCUGGCCUGCAUAGUCCUGCUGAAAAAAAUCAGCUGAUAAUCUUUUGUUUUUAAAAAUAAAUUUAUUUAUUUUUGGCUGUGUUGGGUCUUUGUUGCUGUGCGCGGGCUUUCUCUAGUUGCGGCGAGUGGGGGCUACUCUUUGUUGUGGUGCACGGGCUUCUCAUUGUGGUGGCUUCUCUUGUUGCGGAGCACGGGGUCUAGGCACGCAGGCUUCAGUAGCUGUGGCUUGUGGGCUCUAGAGCGCGGGCUCAGUAGUUGUGGCACACUCCGCGGCAUGUGGGAUCUUCCUGGACCAGGGCGCGAACCUGUGUCCCCUGCAUUGGCAGGCGAUUCUUAACCACUGCACCACCAGGGAAGCCCCAGCCUUUCUUUUUUAUUGAUGAGUGACUGUGCAGCAGUUAGUUGUGACUUUGGUGCUUUUGUGUUAGGUGAGCACAAGGCCGCCUACUCCACCAUCUUGUCUUCUCUCUGUGAGGCUAUUCUUUUCCCUGUGUCUAUUCUUGCAACUUUUCUGUGAGCUUGAAAUUAUUUCUAAACACAUGUUGAAAAAAUUUCAAGGGCGUUCGGAAUCUGUGGAUAUGGAAAGGUCUUCAAGACAUAUCAUAAGCGGAAAAACCAAACACAACGCAAGGGUCAGAGUGAAAACACAAGGGGCUCCUCCUCAAAUUCCAAAGGGUCCAAGCUGAGAACAGAAAAAACCCAGAUGGGCGGGGCCCUAUCUGACUGAACUGAUACAACAACAAGGAAGGACCCCAGAGGCCUUAUGCCACCAGGUGGGAGGCUCCAGGGAAUCGUGUGUUCCGUGUGACUCCGUUUACAUGACAUCCUAGAACAGGUAAAGCUCACCUUGGACGAUGAGCCUGGGUUGCUGCUGGCUGGGGGGAAGGUUUCACUCAAGAUUUGUGCCUCAUACUGUAGGCACGUCAGACCUCAGUGCAACGAACAAUGAGCUGCUCUCCUCAUGUCCAGACUCCCUGGGACGCUGCUCCUGAGCCCUUCCUGCCACUGCCCACUGGCCGUGGAGAGCAAACAGAAUGGAAGCCAUCCCACCCUAACCAGGGGGCAGAGACCUGAGCGGCUCCCUCUGUGGGGCGAUCUUACAUCCGCCCACCAGAUGGCGCUGUGCCCUCAUGGCUGAGGCUGCCCUCCUCUGGCUUGGUCCAGCCAGACACAGAGCCUAGGACUCUGAGAUGCCUUACUGCAGGGAUGUGGGAUUUGGGGACUCCAGAAUUUGGAGCCUGUGGUGGGGUGGGGAAGCAGGAUGAGGGCACGCAGGGACGCUGGUGGGGCUCCCGCCUGUGAGAUGCCUUCACGGCAAGCUGACCCACCCACUGGGAGAAUGAGGGGUCUCCUCUCUGUCCCCCCCACCCCCUCCGCUGUGGCAUGAGAGCACAGCUUCCUGGCUCAGCCCCAGCUGCUCCUAGUGGGCUGAGUGGCUCUGGACAAGUGACUUAGCCUCUCUGAGCCUCAGCAUCCUCCUCCAUAACUGGGUCCCGAGCCUCAGGGGCUGGUGGGGCCGAGGUUGACCAGGAAGCCCAGGCUGCUGCCUGGUGGAGCGGGGGUGAGGGCCGCUCCACAGCUGAGCUUGCGCUCCAGUUCUUUUGUUACUGUUACUGCUGUUACCCUCUCAUCCACUCGGUACCGCGGGAGUGAGGCUCAGAGAAGGCAACCCUGACACCCUGGGGGGAGGGGGCAGCCUCCACCUCCCAGCACUGCCCGGGGAGUCCUCACUGACCCUCCCCUCUGCCCAUCUGGCCCCCUGCAUCUGCCGCAUUUCUGGACGGGCACCCGCAGGGUGGGUAUAUGCUCCCAUUCUGUCAGCAACCCCACUCCGGGGGGCGUGGCCCAAAAGACGCAGCUCCUUUGGAAUUCAGAGGAACUGGGAGCGCGUGACUCGUGGCUCUGUGAUCCCUCGGCUCUGCCGCUAGGGCGUUCCUGUGGUCAUUUAGGUUCUGGGCAGCCUGGCACGUGGCCUGGCCACAGCCCGCUGGCCGUGCCUGAAGGGGCAGGACGUACCAUGUGUCCCCCACGCCCCGCUGCCCCCUGCUGAUGGUGGGCCGUGGAGGGCCAGCUGCGGUCCUGCCGCAGGGACCUGCCCUGUCCCCGGGCAUCCCCCCCCGCCCGACAGUCCUGCCUCGCAUGCAGCCAUGCACACACCCCACACUGGCUGACCCUGGAGCCCAAACACCGCCGGUCAACUCCUCCGGAUUCGGGAGGAGGGUCCAACUCCCUCUGCCCUGGGAGCCUCUCCAGGUGUCAGCCAGGGGUCAGUAGGGGCCUGCAGACACCGGGAGCUCCUCUCCCGCUCAGCCCCCGCCGCUCGGGGCCUUUGUUAACAGCCUGUCUGUCUAUUCGUCUGUCAAGCUCCUUCCAUCAGGUGGCAGCAGAGAGAGAAGCAGCCCGAAGGCCCGGGACCUGUCUCCGAGGGGACGCGCACUCACCGUGCUGGCAGUGAACUCGGGCGGGUUGUCGUUCACGUCUGUCACCGUGAUGAUGGCUGUGGCCGUGUUGGACAGGCCAUAGUUCAGGUUUCCUUCCAUGUCUGUCGCUUGAACAAUGACUGUGUACUGCUGAACUUUCUAGAAGGGCAUGAGGGGGAGGAAGACAGCAUCAGUUUGGGUUUCAGUUUACAGGCUGUUUAUACUUUCAUUAAAGAAAUACAUUCCCCGGACGGACUCAGCUGGGUCCCCGUCCUGCCCGGGGGGCGCUCAGCAGGGGACCUGGCAGAAGAAAGUUCUCACUUGCGGUGGGUGGUGAGGUCUCUGCCUUCACCUCAGUGCCUGGCUUCCACGGGUGUAGAUCGAGGUAGAAAUAAGGAAAAGGGGGCCUGGAGCACACAGCACGCUGUGCUGGGUUUGCCAGACCAGGGGUGGACAGUUUGGAAAGAGGGGCGACCCCCAGAUGUGUGUCUGCAGGGACCUCAUUUCUUUAGCAUCCUCAGUGUCUAGUUCAGCCUCAGUCCAGAAAUUCAAACAGGAGAAGGGAGUCAAGCCCUCUCUCCUCUCUCUGCAGGCACACAGACACCAGCAUUACUCUGUGUCUGAACACAGUCUGGAAGGAGUGGUUAGCGUUCAGAUGCAGGUGUGAAUUUUAAAAGGCAAAAUGAUGCUUGAUGGGGACGGCGAAUUUCACUGGGCACUGAAGGGGCCGCCCAGCCCUUCUCCACCUGGACCCACUGGUGCAGUAACCCCAGGUCAGCAGAGGGGGCCUUUCCACACCCCUGUUCUGAGCAGAGGCCACAGGUGUUUCCAACUGUGACAGGUGGGGACGCUGAGUCUCACGAUGUCCCCAGUGGCACACAGCAAACCAGAGGCUGCUGGAGUGGCCGUGGGAUUCCUGAUGCGGGUUGGCGCCUCUGUGAUGGGUGAAGGCAGACGGCUCCGUGCCGCCAAGGCAGCGACGUCAGCCAGGAUGCCAGGAGGCCUCUUUCUGAAUGUGGCACACAAGGUACCCAAGGGCACGGCAGCGCCAUCCUUAACCCGCUUCCCCCCGGCAGCUGCACGGUCAGUAUCCGUCUCCACGUGUGUGGACAGCUGCAUAUGCUCAGACAUCCAUCGGGCCCUUGACAUCAGGACGUCGCUCAGGGCAGGGGUCCCUCCUUCGCGACUGCUGUGCCUCUGGACCCCAGCAGGGAGUGAGUGCCCCUCCCUCUUGCCCAUCAAAGGCGGCUGGUCAUCUCUGGUCACUGCUGCCUCAGCAGGGACAUGGCAGCGACAGGCUGGGGACGGUACCAGUGCCAGGGUGGGUAGACUGACGAACCGAACCCAAACCUCAGGUCCCCACGUGCCCUCGGCGAGGGUCCUGCCCGGAGCGUCCCGGAUCCAGCCAGGCCUGAAGGCGCCCUGUGCGUUCAAUCACAUGAGCCAGUUAGCCCUCUUUUUUGUUUGAUCCUGGAGCUCGUUUCUGUCCUCUGCCACAGAAGGGGGUCUGACUGCCCCACCUGCUACUGUCUUUCUUUUUGUGAGGGACACCAUCACAGGAAGCACAGUGGGACGACCGGGCACCUAAUGCAGGAGAGAACAGGACUCUGCUGACGUUCUCCCAGCACCACCGGCCCCGACCCUCUGGGGCACCGAUGGGGCCUGAGGGCGGACUCGGGGCCCGACUGUCGUGGCCUCAGUCGGGGUGUCGUGGUGAGCGCUCCGCCACUGAGCCUCGCAGAGUCACCCCCACAGUAUCGACAGACACCACGCCCUCCGUCCAGCUCUGCCGUAGAUUAUUCCUUACAGCUCAGGCUUUCUUGUACUUCAAUAAACACAUUUAGAAGCGUUUAUGCCGCUGCUAUAAAUGGCAAACGAGCAUCACCUUCCACAAAUAGAAAUUAGUCCUAAACACGACUGUGUAUUUUUAAAGGUCCGUCUGUGAGUGUCCAGGCCCAGUGCACGAAGCAAUGGGGGGACCCAGGCCGACGGAGCCACGCGACGCCCCCCGCAGCGGCUGCCCGUCACCUCUCGCCAUGCGGAGAGACACGCAGGCUGAGAGGGGCCCGCCCCACCCCCGGCUGGUAGGCUAACACGGAGCGGGUCCCAGGGCUCCUCUGCUAGGACCUGCCCUGGCUCUGCUCCCUGGGCACAAGCAGAGGCCUACAGUCCACCGGUCCCGGGGCAGGCGGGGCCCGCUGGCCGCACGCUUUCUCCUCUGCCGCCCCCCAAAGCCACGGUGCCCUCCGGGCCGGUGCAGGGCUGUUCCGCCUGCCCUGGCACUCUGCUCGCCCCCAUCAGCAAGGCCUUCCCUGCCUCCCUGAAUAAAAUACAAUCGCUGCCCCACGGCCGCUCCCCCUGCCGGCUGCCCGCUCUCCCGAGACUCUGCUUCACUUCUCAGCGUCAGCGCGGCCGCCCUCCACCGGCUCCUGCCCCACGAGCAGGGCUCCAGAGCCCAGGACUUCACACUCAGUGCCGUCUCCCCGGCGUCUAGAACACGCCUGCACGCUGUCCGUGGGUGGCGGGGACGAUGCCACCCUCCCUGGGCGCUGGCGGUGUCUGUGGGCACAGCUCGGCGAGGCCAGGGCCAUAGCUUGGAUCGGUCUGCCCCAGGGCAGCCGGGCACAGGACGGGGUGGGCAUCAGGGAUGCCCCUCGGGCUGACCCAUACACAGGUCUGGAGCAGAGAUGUUUCCAGAGCUCAGCAGGCGGAAGGGGUGAGUGGGCUCCUAGGGGUCAGUGCUGAAGGGAGACCGCCUCAGGGCUGGCUGCCCUUGCAGGGCUGAGGCACCCAGAGUCCCACCGCGGGGCACGCACAGGCUCUGCCAGCCCCGACGUGGAAGGCUCCGGCCAGCCUGGGGGAUCUGGAGGUGGGAGCUGGGGAUGCAGAGCAGGAGGGAGCCGGCUGGGUCUCCCACCUGACCACAAAUUCACCUUUGCCACCCAGGCCCUGCUUUGCGCGGGCUGUCACGGGGAAGAAAACACACAUGAUCAUAGCGCAGGAGCCCACAGUCCGGCGCGGGCAGCCUCACCCUAAACGGGCCAUGCACGGACCACGGCGGGCGGGCCUGGGACGGACGGCGCUUGGCUGCAGGGGCCUCGGCUGCCCGCCUCUGUUCCCACCCUGGUCUCGUCGGCCAGCAGGGAUCACAGAAGUUAUUCUUUGGGGGCAGUAAAGACAAACCCAAAUAUAAGUCCCAUCAGGAGCCUCAGAACAUGGAAAUAGGGCCUCUGUACAUAAAGUGAAGGUAAGGCUCGAGACGGGACCACCUGGGCUAGGGCGGCCCCAAUCCAGGUGACAGGUGUCCUGGGGAGAGGAGAUGAGGGCACAGGACACAGGGAGGAGGUGGCCACUCGAGAUGGGGGCAGAGACUGGAGUGGCCACAAGUGAAGGAUGCUGGCAGAAGCACAGGAGGUGUUCCACGACCCUCCAGAAGGAAGCAGCACGGCCUGCGUUUGGGAGCUCUGGCCUCCAGAGCUGGAUGCGAUUCUGUUGUCUGAUGGCGCCCAGUGGGUGGCCACCCAGGAACCGCACAACGGCCUCGGGCUCACCCUUCCCAGGCUGCUGGAGGCAUCUGAGAUACCCCCUUCCCCAUGCUGGCCUUGCUCCAAGCAGAUGGUGAGCUUCCACCUGGAGAGGCUUCCCCUGAGACCCCGUGGCCUCACCGUCUGGGCUCUGUCCAUCUCACCGCCCGGCGGGAAGGAGGCAGGCCCAGGGCUGGAAGGCUGGGAGGAGGGUCGUCACCCCAGCCUCGCCUCUGGGACCAGCCGACACUGCACGGGGCUGAGCAGGAAACAGGAGGAUUCAUGCCCACAGCAAA
This is a long non-coding RNA of Orcinus orca (killer whale), 17628 nucleotides long. RefSeq lists it as uncharacterized. The transcript is spliced from 9 exons. The record is from RefSeq and is a predicted model, not a curated record. Lineage: Eukaryota; Metazoa; Chordata; Mammalia; Artiodactyla; Delphinidae.